AGAGUUUGAUCCUGGCUCAGGACGAACGCUGGCGGCGCGCCUAACACAUGCAAGUCGAACGAGCGGGAGAGAGCUUGCUUUCUCAAGCGAGUGGCGAACGGGUGAGUAACGCGUGAGGAACCUGCCUCAAAGAGGGGGACAACAGUUGGAAACGACUGCUAAUACCGCAUAAGCCCACGACCCGGCAUCGGGUAGAGGGAAAAGGAGCAAUCCGCUUUGAGAUGGCCUCGCGUCCGAUUAGCUAGUUGGUGAGGUAAUGGCCCACCAAGGCGACGAUCGGUAGCCGGACUGAGAGGUUGAACGGCCACAUUGGGACUGAGACACGGCCCAGACUCCUACGGGAGGCAGCAGUGGGGAAUAUUGCACAAUGGGGGAAACCCUGAUGCAGCGACGCCGCGUGGAGGAAGAAGGUCUUCGGAUUGUAAACUCCUGUUGUUGAGGAAGAUAAUGACGGUACUCAACAAGGAAGUGACGGCUAACUACGUGCCAGCAGCCGCGGUAAAACGUAGGUCACAAGCGUUGUCCGGAAUUACUGGGUGUAAAGGGAGCGCAGGCGGGAAGACAAGUUGGAAGUGAAAUCCAUGGGCUCAACCCAUGAACUGCUUUCAAAACUGUUUUUCUUGAGUAGUGCAGAGGUAGGCGGAAUUCCCGGUGUAGCGGUGGAAUGCGUAGAUAUCGGGAGGAACACCAGUGGCGAAGGCGGCCUACUGGGCACCAACUGACGCUGAGGCUCGAAAGUGUGGGUAGCAAACAGGAUUAGAUACCCUGGUAGUCCACACCGUAAACGAUGAUUACUAGGUGUUGGAGGAUUGACCCCUUCAGGGCCGGCAGUUAACACAAAUAAAGUAAUCCACCUGGGGAGUACGACCGCAAGGUUGAAACUCAAAGGAAUUGACGGGGGCCCGCACAAGCAGUGGAGUAGGUGGUUUAAUUCGACGCAACGCGAAGAACCUUACCAAGUCUUGACAUCCUGCGACGAUGCUGGAAACAGUAUUUUCCUUCGGGACGCAGAGACAGGUGGUGCAUGGUUGUCGUCAGCUCGUGUCGUGAGAUGUUGGGUUAAGUCCCGCAACGAGCGCAACCCUUAUGGUCAGUUACUACGCAAGAGGACUCUGGCCAGACUGCCGUUGACAAAACGGAGGAAGGUGGGGAUGACGUCAAAUCAUCAUGCCCUUUAUGACUUGGGCUACACACGUACUACAAUGGCGUUAAACAAAGAGAAGCAAGACCGCGAGGUGGAGCAAAACUCAGAAACAACGUCCCAGUUCGGAAAGCAGGCUGCAACUCGCCUGCACGAAGUCGGAAUUGCUAGUAAUCGUGGAUCAGCAUGCCACGGUGAAUA
RNAcentral lists this ribosomal RNA (1342 nucleotides) under uncultured bacterium. Its description in RNAcentral is "bacterial SSU rRNA". It matches the Rfam family "Bacterial small subunit ribosomal RNA", at positions 8 to 1368 of the family's 1533-position model. The record is from RNAcentral.